GAGUGCUGCAGUACUGGAAUGCGGGAGAUGGAGACAGGCGGCCUGCUGUGAUGCGCCGCAAAGCUUUGAAUACCUUCGAAUGUUUCUCACCGAAGCUUCGAAGCCCAAAAAAUGGUAUUCAGGACAGCCCUUGGGGGAAUUAAUACUUUUACGCAUUCCUGUUUCAGCAAUAGCAUGCCGAAUAAUGGCAGUAUUUAUAUCACGUCUGAUGCGAAAAUGUCUCAAAAAGCUCACAACUGCCCUUGUGGAUUUCAAUCAAGUCAGUGACCCAAAAUA
Molecule: long non-coding RNA, 276 nt
Organism: Sebastes umbrosus (honeycomb rockfish)
Lineage: Eukaryota; Metazoa; Chordata; Actinopteri; Perciformes; Sebastidae
Exons: 3
Source: RefSeq, a predicted model, not a curated record